GAAUUUUUGAAAGUCUCUUGUAAAGAAAAUUGCCAAUUUGGUUCAGCAUAGUGAUAUGAGCUGCCCUGUAGUAAGCCAGCACACCCACUCUGGGGAUGUGACUGUAUAUACACACUAAUUUGUAUGUAAAGUUACGGCCAUUUGUGAAAAUGCAUAUUUUUAGACUUUUUACUGUUAGCACCACUUACUAAAGUGGCAGUACAGAAGCCUCAAAUUUUGUUUCAAAAUGCAGGUAUAAGACUAAGGAUAUUUUCUACCUUUCCCUAAAUUGGCAUAGCAUUUCUAGGAGACAGGCUAGAUUAAUAAGGUAAGCUUGAUGAUGGGAAAAUGGGAGUGGAGAGAGACAGAUAACAACUAAGGAGGUAGACUGUAUUUCUGAGAGAGAGAUCUGGAAUUAAAAUUUUCAUUUUUUAAUGUCUACCCAUUGACACCUAACAAGUACUUCCACUCUCAAUAAUGUUAUAAAAAAAUGUAAAAUGCCUAUAUUUAUCUAAAAAACAGAUUUUCAACUUUGUUUCCUUUUAUGGAUUUUGAAGGCCAAUUUGUAGAACUUAUGUUUCAGGUUUAAUUAAUCAAUUUCAUUACAGGAUUAUUAUUUUUGAUUCUUGGUUUAUUAUAAUAGUUCACUGUGCAAUCAGAUUCACAUAUGAGUGGUUUUAUCAGGAAAAUUAGUUUGGGCUUUAUUUUUAUUAAAAACCAAUUCAUUAGAAAAUGUUUGCUUUACUCCUCUAUUUAGACAUUUUGGGAAAACCAAAUAUAGUUAUUGUCUAAGAUGCCAUAAAUGUUUGCAACUGUAAUCUCUGAAAUGUUUCCAUUGUACACAAUGACCUGAUUAAAAAGUAAUGGUGGAAUAAAAUGACACCCAGAAUAAUAAUCUGUUGCUGCUAGAUAAAGCCAUUUAAAAAAAGAAGCCAAACAAACAAAACUUUGCUACUGUGACAAUGUCUUAUUACAGUUCCUUUAUUUUAUACCAAAGGGUUGAUAUAUAUUUGAUCAUUGUCUAAUGGAUAUUGGUGUGGGAG
RNAcentral lists this long non-coding RNA (1022 nucleotides) under Sarcophilus harrisii (Tasmanian devil). RNAcentral describes it as "lncRNA (ENSSHAG00000029951.1)". Lineage: Eukaryota; Metazoa; Chordata; Mammalia; Dasyuromorphia; Dasyuridae. The record is from RNAcentral.